AUCUGGAGGGGUUGGCUUUGGUCGUUGACAAAAAGACUUUUCUCUUGCCUAGGGACAGAAAUCUUUGUGGCGGCAACUGCACCAGAUUUUAAAGCUUUCAUUCUGGAAUCCAAUAGAAGUCAAAUCAACCACUGAGAGGGAAAAAUGGAACAAGCAAACCCUUUGCUAAUCCAAGGAUUCAGUCCUAGGUGUAUCCAUGUAUGGGUGUGUCCAUGUGGUGUGCCUACCUUGCUCCAUAGUAAGCCUCCAUGUGUUCCUAUGGCAGUGGACAUGUUUGGUAAACUUGUAAGAAUAGAGACUUUAUGCUGGAGGAAAAUCAC
Molecule: long non-coding RNA, 320 nt
Organism: Cercocebus atys (sooty mangabey)
Lineage: Eukaryota; Metazoa; Chordata; Mammalia; Primates; Cercopithecidae
Exons: 3
Source: RefSeq, a predicted model, not a curated record